This 389-nucleotide ribosomal RNA is filed under the name uncultured bacterium. Its description in RNAcentral is "bacterial SSU rRNA". It matches the Rfam family "Bacterial small subunit ribosomal RNA", at positions 29 to 417 of the family's 1533-position model. The record is from RNAcentral.
AUUGAACGCUGGCGGAAUGCUUUACACAUGCAAGUCGAGCGGCAGCGCGGGGCAACCCUGGCGGCGAGCGGCGAACGGGUGAGUAACAUAUCGGAACGUACCCAGUCGGUGGGGGAUAACUAUCCGAAAGGAUAGCUAAUACCGCAUACGUCCUGAGGGAGAAAGCGGGGGAUCGCAAGACCUCGCGCGAAUUGGAGCGGCCGAUAUCGGAUUAGCUAGUUGGUGGGGUAAAGGCUCACCAAGGCGACGAUCCGUAGCGGGUCUGAGAGGACGACCCGCCACACUGGAACUGAGACACGGUCCAGACUCCUACGGGAGGCAGCAGUGGGGGAAUUUUGGACAAUGGGGGCAACCCUGAUCCAGCCAUUCCGCGUGAGUGAAGAAGGCCU